ACGAACGCUGGCGGCGUGCUCAACACAUGCAAGUCGAACGGAAAGGCCCUGCUUUUGUGGGGUGCUCGAGUGGCGAACGGGUGAGUAACGCGUGAGUAACCUGCCCUUGACUUUGGGAUAACUUCAGGAAACUGGGGCUAAUACCGGAUAGGAGCUCCUGCUGCAUGGUGGGGGUUGGAAAGUUUCGGCGGUUGGGGAUGGACUCGCGGCUUAUCAGCUUGUUGGUGGGGUAGUGGCUUACCAAGGCUUUGACGGGUAGCCGGCCUGAGAGGGUGACCGGCCACAUUGGGACUGAGAUACGGCCCAGACUCCUACGGGAGGCAGCAGUGGGGAAUAUUGCACAAUGGGCGGAAGCCUGAUGCAGCAACGCCGCGUGCGGGAUGACGGCCUUCGGGUUGUAAACCGCUUUCGCCUGUGACGAAGCGUGAGUGACGGUAAUGGGUAAAGAAGCACCGGCUAACUACGUG
RNAcentral lists this ribosomal RNA (467 nucleotides) under uncultured bacterium. RNAcentral describes it as "partial 16S ribosomal RNA". It matches the Rfam family "Bacterial small subunit ribosomal RNA", at positions 29 to 507 of the family's 1533-position model. The record is from RNAcentral.